UACGAAGGGGGCUAGCGUUGUUCGGAAUUACUGGGCGUAAAGCGCACGUAGGCGGACUACUAAGUCAGGGGUGAAAUCCCGGGGCUCAACCCCGAAACUGCCUUUGAUACUGGGUGUCUGGAGGUCGAGAGAGGCGAGUGGAAUUCCGAGUGUAGAGGUGAAAUUCGUAGAUAUUCGGAGGAACACCAGUGGCGAAGGCGGCUCGCUGGCUCGAUACUGACGCUGAGGUGCGAAAGCGUGGGGAGCAAACAGG
RNAcentral lists this ribosomal RNA (253 nucleotides) under uncultured bacterium. RNAcentral describes it as "partial 16S ribosomal RNA". It matches the Rfam family "Bacterial small subunit ribosomal RNA", at positions 524 to 776 of the family's 1533-position model. The record is from RNAcentral.